This 637-nucleotide ribosomal RNA is filed under the name uncultured bacterium. RNAcentral describes it as "bacterial SSU rRNA". It matches the Rfam family "Bacterial small subunit ribosomal RNA", at positions 607 to 1244 of the family's 1533-position model. The record is from RNAcentral.
GCUCAACCGGGGAGGGUCAUUGGAAACUGGGGAACUUGAGUGCAGAAGAGGAGAGUGGAAUUCCACGUGUAGCGGUGAAAUGCGUAGAGAUGUGGAGGAACACCAGUGGCGAAGGCGACUCUCUGGUCUGUAACUGACGCUGAGGCGCGAAAGCGUGGGGAGCGAACAGGAUUAGAUACCCUGGUAGUCCACGCCGUAAACGGUGAGUGCUAAGUGUUAGAGGGUUUCCGCCCUUUAGUGCUGCAGCAAACGCAUUAAGCACUCCGCCUGGGGAGUACGGUCGCAAGACUGAAACUCAAGGGAAUUGACGGGGGCCCGCACAAGCGGUGGAGCAUGUGGUUUAAUUCGAAGCAACGCGAAGAACCUUACCAGGUCUUGACAUCCUCUGACAACCCUAGAGAUAGGGCUUCCCCUUCGGGGGCAGAGUGACAGGUGGUGCAUGGUUGUCGUCAGCUCGUGUCGAGAGAUGUUGGGUUAAGUCCUGCAACGAGCGCAACCCUUGAUCUUAGUUGCCAGCAUUCAGUUGGGCACUCUAAGGUGACUGCCGGUGACAAACCGGAGGAAGGUGGGGAUGACGUCAAAUCAUCAUGCCCCUUAUGACCUGGGCUACACACGUGCUACAAUGGGCAGAACAAAG